CAAUACUUAGUGGCAGACGGGUGAGUAACAUGUAGGUAUCUGCCCUUUGGCCUGGAAUAACACGAGGAAACUUGUGCUAAUACCGGAUAAGUCUUUACGGAGAAAGCUUUAUGCACCAUUGGAUGAGCCUGCACUUGAUUAGUUUGUUGGUGGGGUAAUGGCCUACCAAGACUGUGAUCAAUAGCUGAUUUGAGAGGAUGAUCAGCCACAUUGGGACUGAGACACGGCCCAAACUCCUACGGGAGGCAGCAGUGGGGAAUCUUGCACAAUGGAGGAAACUCUGAUGCAGCGAUGCCGCGCGAGUGAAGAAGGCCCUUGGGUUGUAAAGCUCUUUCGUCGGGGAAGAAAAUGACUGUACCCGAAUAAGAAGGUCCGGCUAACUUCGUGCCAGCAGCCGCGGUAAUACGAAGGGACCUAGCGUAGUUCGGAAUUACUGGGCUUAAAGAGUUCGUAGGUGGUUGAAAAAGUUAGUGGUGAAAUCCCAGAGCUUAACUCUGGAACUGCCAUUAAAACUUUUCAGCUAGAGUAUGAUAGAGGAAAGCAGAAUUUCUAGUGUAGAGGUGAAAUUCGUAGAUAUUAGAAAGAAUACCAAUUGCGAAGGCAGCUUUCUGGAUCAUUACUGACACUGAGGAACGAAAGCAUGGGUAGCGAAGAGGAUUAGAUACCCUCGUAGUCCAUGCCGUAAACGAUGUGUGUUAGACGUUGGAAAUUUAUUUUCAGUGUCGCAGGGAAACCGAUAAACACACCGCCUGGGGAGUACGACCGCAAGGUUAAAACUCAAAUGAAUUGACGGGGACCCGCACAAGUAGU
RNAcentral lists this ribosomal RNA (810 nucleotides) under uncultured marine bacterium. RNAcentral describes it as "bacterial SSU rRNA". It matches the Rfam family "Bacterial small subunit ribosomal RNA", at positions 86 to 933 of the family's 1533-position model. The record is from RNAcentral.